GGUGCUCGAGUGGCGAACGGGUGAGUAACACGUGGGUGAUCUGCCCUGCACUUUGGGAUAAGCCUGGGAAACUGGGUCUAAUACCGGAUAGGACUACGGCCUGCAUGGGUUGUGGUGGAAAGCUUUUGCGGUGUGGGAUGGGCCCGCGGCCUAUCAGCUUGUUGGUGGGGUGAUGGCCUACCAAGGCGACGACGGGUAGCCGGCCUGAGAGGGUGUCCGGCCACACUGGGACUGAGAUACGGCCCAGACUCCUACGGGAGGCAGCAGUGGGGAAUAUUGCACAAUGGGCGCAAGCCUGAUGCAGCGACGCCGCGUGAGGGAUGACGGCCUUCGGGUUGUAAACCUCUUUCAGUAGGGACGAAGCGCGAGUGACGGUACCUACAGAAGAAGCACCGGCCAACUACGUGCCAGCAGCCGCGGUAAUACGUAGGGUGCGAGCGUUGUCCGGAAUUACUGGGCGUAAAGAGCUCGUAGGUGGUUUGUCGCGUUGUCCGUGAAAACUCACAGCUUAACUGUGGGCGUGCGGGCGAUACGGGCAGACUGGAGUACUGCAGGGGAGACUGGAAUUCCUGGUGUAGCGGUGGAAUGCGCAGAUAUCAG
RNAcentral lists this ribosomal RNA (600 nucleotides) under Mycobacterium sp. YIM 76425. RNAcentral's name for it is "bacterial SSU rRNA". It matches the Rfam family "Bacterial small subunit ribosomal RNA", at positions 86 to 700 of the family's 1533-position model. Lineage: Bacteria; Bacillati; Actinomycetota; Actinomycetes; Mycobacteriales; Mycobacteriaceae. The record is from RNAcentral.